This is a non-coding RNA of Aspergillus ellipticus CBS 707.79, 74 nucleotides long. The record is from the annotation of a GenBank genome assembly. Lineage: Eukaryota; Fungi; Ascomycota; Eurotiomycetes; Eurotiales; Aspergillaceae.
GCCCGGUUAGCUCAAUUGGUUAGAGCGUCAGACUUUUAAUCUGAAUGUUGCGAGUUCGAGUCUCGCAUUGGGCG